This 441-nucleotide ribosomal RNA is filed under the name uncultured bacterium. Its description in RNAcentral is "bacterial SSU rRNA". It matches the Rfam family "Bacterial small subunit ribosomal RNA", at positions 338 to 795 of the family's 1533-position model. The record is from RNAcentral.
CCUACGGGAGGCAGCAGUGGGGAAUAUUGCACAAUGGGCGAAAGCCAGAUGCAGCAACGCCGCGUGAGUGAAGAAGGCCUUCGGGUUGUAAAACUCUUUUCCAGGGGAAGAGGAAGGACGGUACCCUGGGAAUAAGCCUCGGCUAACUACGUGCCAGCAGCCGCGGUAAUACGUAGGAGGCGAGCGUUAUCCGGAUUUAUUGGGCGUAAAGGGCAAGUAGGCGGUUGUCAAAGUCGUGCGUGACAGAUCCCGGCUCAACUGGGAAAGGUCGUGCGAAACUAGGCGACUGGAGGGCAGAAGAGGAAAGCGGAAUUCCUAGUGUAGCGGUGGAAUGCACAGAUAUUAGGAAGAACACCAGUGGCGAAGGCGGCUUUCUGGUCUGAACCUGACGCUGAGAGGCGAAAGCUAGGGGAGCAAACGGGCUUAGAUACCCCUGUAGUC